Ribosomal RNA from Peromyscus maniculatus bairdii (prairie deer mouse), 119 nucleotides. The record is from Ensembl. NCBI's taxonomy places the organism in Eukaryota, Metazoa, Chordata, Mammalia, Rodentia, Cricetidae.
UUCUACGGCCAUAUCACCCUGAAUGCGCCGGAUCUCGUCUGAUCUCGGAAGCUAAGCAGGGUUGGGCCUGGUUAGUACUUGGAUGGGAGACUGCAUGGGAAUACCGGGUGCUGUAGGCU